RNAcentral lists this transfer RNA (68 nucleotides) under Filchnerella yongdengensis. RNAcentral describes it as "tRNA-Ile". Lineage: Eukaryota; Metazoa; Arthropoda; Insecta; Orthoptera; Pamphagidae. The record is from RNAcentral.
AAUGGAGUGCCUGAAUAAAGGGUUAUCUUGAUAGGGUAAAUCAAGUAAUUUAAAAAUUACCUCCGUUA